This 1066-nucleotide ribosomal RNA is filed under the name Salmonella enterica subsp. enterica serovar Agona. RNAcentral's name for it is "partial 23S ribosomal RNA". It matches the Rfam family "Bacterial large subunit ribosomal RNA", at positions 83 to 1190 of the family's 2925-position model. The record is from RNAcentral. Lineage: Bacteria; Pseudomonadati; Pseudomonadota; Gammaproteobacteria; Enterobacterales; Enterobacteriaceae.
AAGGUGAUAUGAACCGUUAUAACCGGCGAUACCCGAAUGGGGAAACCCAGUGUGACUCGUCACACUAUCAUUAACUGAAUCCAUAGGUUAAUGAGGCGAACCGGGGGAACUGAAACAUCUAAGUACCCCGAGGAAAAGAAAUCAACCGAGAUUCCCCCAGUAGCGGCGAGCGAACGGGGAGGAGCCCAGAGCCUGAAUCAGCAUGUGUGUUAGUGGAAGCGUCUGGAAAGGCGCGCGAUACAGGGUGACAGCCCCGUACACAAAAGCGCAUGUGCUGUGAGCUCGAUGAGUAGGGCGGGACACGUGGUAUCCUGUCUGAAUAUGGGGGGACCAUCCUCCAAGGCUAAAUACUCCUGACUGACCGAUAGUGAACCAGUACCGUGAGGGAAAGGCGAAAAGAACCCCGGCGAGGGGAGUGAAAAAGAACCUGAAACCGUGUACGUACAAGCAGUGGGAGCACCCUUUGGGGUGUGACUGCGUACCUUUUGUAUAAUGGGUCAGCGACUUAUAUUCUGUAGCAAGGUUAACCGAAUAGGGGAGCCGGAGGGAAACCGAGUCUUAAUUGGGCGUUAAGUUGCAGGGUAUAGACCCGAAACCCGGUGAUCUAGCCAUGGGCAGGUUGAAGGUUGGGUAACACUAACUGGAGGACCGAACCGACUAAUGUUGAAAAAUUAGCGGAUGACCUGUGGCUGGGGGUGAAAGGCCAAUCAAACCGGGAGAUAGCUGGUUCUCCCCGAAAGCUAUUUAGGUAGCGCCUCGUGAAUUCAUCUCCGGGGGUAGAGCACUGUUUCGGCUAGGGGGCCAUCCCGGCUUACCAACCCGAUGCAAACUGCGAAUACCGGAGAAUGUUAUCACGGGAGACACACGGCGGGUGCUAACGUCCGUCGUGAAGAGGGAAACAACCCAGACCGCCAGCUAAGGUCCCAAAGUCAUGGUUAAGUGGGAAACGAUGUGGGAAGGCCCAGACAGCCAGGAUGUUGGCUUAGAAGCAGCCAUCAUUUAAAGAAAGCGUAAUAGCUCACUGGUCGAGUCGGCCUGCGCGGAAGAUGUAACGGGGCUAAACCAU